RNAcentral lists this unclassified non-coding RNA (309 nucleotides) under Hevea brasiliensis (rubber tree). The record is from RNAcentral. Lineage: Eukaryota; Viridiplantae; Streptophyta; Magnoliopsida; Malpighiales; Euphorbiaceae.
AUUUUAUUCACUUUUAGUUAUAUAUUUUUAGCAUAAUUAUUAUUAUUCCAUUUUAGAGUUGAUGUAUUACCGUUAAAAUAUUUCAUUUUAGGCAAAAUCCAAGCAGCUCACCUAGAGGACUCCAGGCACCUUGCUUGGGAGGCCUGUAGGUGAGGCGCCUUCAACUAGGCAUUGCCAAGACGAGGUGAGGAGCCCCUAGGAGAGAAAAAUGGGAGAAAUUAAAAAAAAUAAAGUUGAGAAAGAGAAAAGCUGAUUUGUUUCACCUUUUGGGAUCUACAUGAUGACUAGACAAUUAGGAUUUUGAGUUUG